GUGUGUCUCAACUCACGGCAACAUUUGUGCGUCUUCCAGAUUGUGCGCUACAAGGAGUUGCUGAAAGAUAUUGGGCUCAACAAGAGAAUCACCCCCGAAAACUACAACCUGACCAAAGCCUUCCUUGCGGAUGAUAUUUGCAAAUUCUCUGACAACACAUUUCCGAAACUGGAUCUGAAAACAGAAAAAACGACCGCCGUUGGCCUCCCGGCGCUCACGCAGGGCCUCAACUCAUCUGUGGCGGAGCGCCAGAGACGGAAUCGCGCCGUGCACAGAAGCCACGUCAAGGGCACGGUGCGAUGAGAUGAUCCAGAUGCUCACCUCUCAGCUGCAACUUCGGGGACAUGCAAAGUCAGUGUCCGUGUGAUGUCACAGAUCAAACAGCCAAUCAAAAAGCCGUGGAAGAACCGAGAGAAAUGUUUUCGCUGAGUAGAAGCUUGUAAACGGCAGGGAUUUACAGUACCUAAUGUCACCAAAGACACAUAUAUAUAUAUAUAUCAUUGUCAAUUAUUCUCAAAGCAUCCCCUGAUCUUAAGCCCCCCAAAAGAGCUACGAAAAACUCCCAAAAACCCUACUAAAAAAAAUCAUUUUAUUUAAUCGUAGUUAUAUAUUUAUCAUAAAUGUAUCAUUUAUUCAUAUUACCUUACCAUACUACCAUAUAACCCUAACCCUAAAUAUUUCUGACACGUCACCGGUCCGUAGCUUUCCAUUCGCUUGUGAGUUACUCCAUCAUACCAUAUUCAUUCCGGGUAUUGAGAGCCAGGCUUCCUUAGUGGAGUUGUUGGUCCUCUGGGAUCUCACCCCCAGCAACACGGGUUUCAAUUUUGGUCGGGCCUAAAAAAAUUAUUAUGCCCUGCAUUUGACUAGGGGUGUAACGAUACAUCGAUACGCAUCGAUUAAUCGAUCGUAGAGCACUAGAUCGCGAUACAUCGUGAAUGAACCGCAGCAGGCUUUAAGAUAUCGGCAAAUAUCGUCUCGUAGUUCUUUAUAUCGAUAUUAUAUCGUAGCGUGAAACAACCCGCCAUUUACACCCCUACAUUUGACCCAUCCCCAUGUGAUCGAGGCUUCCGUAGUGUGGUGGUUUGUGUUCUGGGCUUUCACUCCAGCGACAUGGGUUUGAGUCUGGGUCCAGCCUAAAAAAUAAAUUUGCAACACAGUUGAUCGUGUAUUUCCCCAUUUAACCAUCCACCUCCCUGAAGCUUAGGGUUGGGUUUAGAGCUAAGGUUAGGUUUAGAGCUAGUGUUUGGGUUAGAGCUGGGGCUAGGGUUAGCGUUAGAGCUAGGGUUAAGGUAAGA
This is a long non-coding RNA of Syngnathus typhle (broad-nosed pipefish), 1295 nucleotides long. RefSeq lists it as uncharacterized. The transcript has 3 exons. NCBI's taxonomy places the organism in Eukaryota, Metazoa, Chordata, Actinopteri, Syngnathiformes, Syngnathidae. The record is from RefSeq and is a predicted model, not a curated record.